GUGGGACAGCAGACUGUCUAAGGCUUUCGUCAUUUCAAAGAGGAAGAAUGAAGAGAUUACGCUACCGUGGUGUUUCCACUUUUUCUUCCCGAUAGCGUCCAGCCAUUUGAUCAAACAGGCAGCCUCGGACUCUGCCGCUCUCUCUCCUGCUCUGAGCACCCCAGUUGUAAUGUCGAAUAACCUGAAAUGAGUUAUCUUUUGUGGAGGUGGCUGAGAGGUCAGUUGAGAGAGAGAGAAAAAAACACUUCGCAACGAAGACUGUCUCAGUGGGGAACGAACAAUAGUGUCUGGGUUUUGGGGACCCAAUCCACAUCGUAAUCCACAUCCACUGUGUUUCCAGUCCUGCCUAAUUUAGCACGCUGCCGUCGACCCGCCUCGUGCAGUACUGAACAAACUGCUCUGGGAGAGUUUAAGGACAAGUGAAUCAAAUAACGUGGAAUGGGCACGGCGCGCAGGGGUUGCCAGUCAGGUCGGAUUGCGCACUGGGGAAUCUUGCGCGAAGGAGACACAGCCACGCACGUGGAGCUAUUUGGCGGAACGAUCCUUCUGCAUCUUUCAUGUUACAUUUCACGGAAGCAUUGGUGGCAAGUGUCAGAACGACGGAUAUUCGACGUUUACGCGUCUUAUUUAUUGACUCCUUGUCUCAUAAUUUAAAGGCUGGGUUAAAAGGCGACAGUUGCUAAUGAACAUUGGUCCAAGUCAGAGCAAACUCCAGGGGUUCCCUAACCGCGUAAACCAAGAGGCGAAUCUUUAGCAACAAGCUCUACUAGCAACUUAGAAUACCAAUGCUUUAUUUGUUUUAUACAGUCAUAUGCUUACUUGUCGUUUCCAAAUAUAAAGAGAUG
Mobula hypostoma (lesser devil ray) is the source of this 845-nucleotide long non-coding RNA. RefSeq lists it as uncharacterized. The transcript has 3 exons. The record is from RefSeq and is a predicted model, not a curated record. Lineage: Eukaryota; Metazoa; Chordata; Chondrichthyes; Myliobatiformes; Myliobatidae.